GAUGAACGCUGGCGGCGUGCCUAAUACAUGCCAGUCGAGCGAACAGACGAGGAGCUUGCUCCUCUGACGUUAGCGGCGGACGGGUGAGUAACACGUGGAUAACCUACCUAUAAGACUGGGAUAACUUCGGGAAACCGGAGCUAAUACCGGAUAACAUGUUGAACCGCAUGGUUCAACAGUGAAAGACGGUCUUGCUGUCACUUAUAGAUGGAUCCGCGCCGCAUUAGCUAGUUGGUAAGGUAACGGCUUACCAAGGCAACGAUGCGUAGCCGACCUGAGAGGGUGAUCGGCCACACUGGAACUGAGACACGGUCCAGACUCCUACGGGAGGCAGCAGUAGGGAAUCUGCCGCAAUGGGCGAAAGCCUGACGGAGCAACGCCGCGUGAGUGAAGAAGGUCUUCGGAUCGUAAAACUCUGUUAUUAGGGAAGAACAAAUGUGUAAGUAACUAUGCACGUCUUGACGGUACCUAAUCAGAAAGCCACGGCUAACUACGUG
RNAcentral lists this ribosomal RNA (497 nucleotides) under uncultured bacterium. Its description in RNAcentral is "partial 16S ribosomal RNA". It matches the Rfam family "Bacterial small subunit ribosomal RNA", at positions 28 to 507 of the family's 1533-position model. The record is from RNAcentral.